CCUUAGUCUUAACCGGUUGUUAGGGACUCCCCCGUAAAGUCAUCGUUAUCCAGUCCUCUGGAUCUGAGUGGCCUGUUCCACUCUGUUUGACGCCUCCCUGUUAACUUCCUGAGCCGCCGUUUCGGCGGCUCCUUUUUU
Non-coding RNA from Methyloceanibacter caenitepidi, 138 nucleotides. The record is from Rfam. NCBI's taxonomy places the organism in Bacteria, Pseudomonadati, Pseudomonadota, Alphaproteobacteria, Hyphomicrobiales, Hyphomicrobiaceae.